AACGCACAUUGCGCCCUGUGGUAUUCCGCAGGGCAUGCCUGUUCGAGCGUCAGUACAACACUCAAGCCUAGCUUGGUAUUGAGCCACGCCCGCAAGGGCUGGCUUUAAAAUCAGUGGCGGCGCCAUCUGGCUCUAAGCGUAGUAAUACUUCUCGCUAUUGAGUUCCGGUGGAUGCUGGCCAGCAACCUCCAACUUUCUUAGUUUGACCUCGGAUCAGGUAGGGAUACCCGCUGAACUUAA
Molecule: unclassified non-coding RNA, 240 nt
Filed under: uncultured fungus
Lineage: Eukaryota; Fungi
Also listed under: 1 other name
Description: partial contains 5.8S ribosomal RNA, internal transcribed spacer 2, and large subunit ribosomal RNA
Rfam family: 5.8S ribosomal RNA (bases 1-52)
Source: RNAcentral